RNAcentral lists this transfer RNA (73 nucleotides) under Stegodyphus mimosarum. It matches the Rfam family "tRNA". Rfam says of the family: Transfer RNA (tRNA) molecules are approximately 80 nucleotides in length. Their secondary structure includes four short double-helical elements and three loops (D, anti-codon, and T loops). Further hydrogen bonds mediate the characteristic L-shaped molecular structure. tRNAs have two regions of fundamental functional importance: the anti-codon, which is responsible for specific mRNA codon recognition, and the 3' end, to which the tRNAs corresponding amino acid is attached (by aminoacyl-tRNA synthetases). tRNAs cope with the degeneracy of the genetic code in two manners: having more than one tRNA (with a specific anti-codon) for a particular amino acid; and 'wobble' base-pairing, i.e. permitting non-standard base-pairing at the 3rd anti-codon position. Lineage: Eukaryota; Metazoa; Arthropoda; Arachnida; Araneae; Eresidae. The record is from Rfam by way of RNAcentral.
GCCUUUGUGGUGUAAAGAUCAGCACACUCUGCGCGUAUUCGAGAGAUCCGAGGUUCUAAUCCCGGCUAGGGCA